Molecule: long non-coding RNA, 5365 nt
Filed under: Populus tremula
Lineage: Eukaryota; Viridiplantae; Streptophyta; Magnoliopsida; Malpighiales; Salicaceae
Description: long non-coding RNA (PTRE_LNC001107)
Source: RNAcentral
AGCCCUUGAUGCCUAUGGAGUACGUGAGGGACGCUUGGAUUGGCCAGAGAGAAAAGCUUCUCAAUGUGUUGCCUGGAAACCAUGAUUAUGCAGCUGUUUUGCCUGAAACAUCUUCAUCUCAUCAUAUGGAAAUGUUUCAACCACCUUAUUCAACAAAGGAUGAACCGCUGGAGCUAGUUGAAGAGGCUGGUGUUGUUGAAAAGGUAAAUGUUCCUAGUAAAAAGAGGCAGCGUCAUAAAGGCCCGAAAUCCCCAAGAGCAAAGAAGGGUAUGGGAGGCGCUCAAGUACCCAAACCUGAGGGUAGUCCUCCUACUCAACGAGCACGGGCUGCCAAGAAAUCCGCGGAAAUUAUGAUAAAUGGGAUCAACAUGGACAUUUCAGUCAUUCCCAUACCUGUUUGCUCGUGUACCGGCAACCCCCAACAAUGCUAUCGUUGGGGUUGUGGUGGAUGGCAAUCAGCAUGCUGUACGACAUGCAUUUCUGUGUAUCCCUUGCCUAUGAGUACAAAACGGCGUAGUGCAAGGAUAGCAGGGAGAAAAAUGAGUCUAGGAGCUUUCAAGAAAGUCUUAGAGAAACUUGCUGGUGAAGGCUAUGACUUCUCUAAUCCGAUUGAUCUGAGAACUCACUGGGCUAAACACGGUACGAACAAGUUUGUCACUAUUAGGUAGAUGUACCAUAUGGAUCCUUGUUCUGCUUGUACUCUAAGCUGUUUCAAACUUAUUGAUGCCAGGGAAACUGAUGUAAUAGAUGAGAUUUAUCAAUAGAUUCUUGCCUCAUUUGUGACUGAUUUUUCUACUGUUAAUUGUUAAGUGAUUCCUUGAUUCUUUCUUACCUUUUUUACUUGUGCGUAUUCUAUUUCAUCUGAUUUAGAAUAAAUUUGGAAUAAGAAUCUAAUUCUAGUGUAUGUGGCAGCCUCAUUCUUUCUGAAGUUAUUGCAGCAUGUGUAAAUGAAUGAGCAGUUCAUGGACCCAUGAUGUGAGGUAGUUGCUUUAGCCUUGCCACAUUGUUAGUGAGAAACUUGUUAUUGAUAACCCAACUUAGAGGAUGUUUUGCUUCUUUUUCCCUUAAGAGGUUGUAAUAACAUGAUAGUUCUAAGUCCUUUCAUGGCUACUGUGGGGUGUAGAUUGUGACAGUGAUUUAUUUUGUGACGAAUGCAUUUUACUCUUGUGGUGAUGUUCUAUAAUGCAUAGGCCUCUCGUCGUUUUUGUUCGAGUUCUUAUGUGGAUGAUGGUCUAACAAAGAUAGCAAGUUUUUUGUUCUUGCCGUGGUUGUCCUGCCUGCCAUUUGCUGGCAGGAUUGGAGUUUGUAAGGAGGUUGAAUUUGGAGUGAAAUAGAACUAGAAAAUUAAGGACCUGUUUUUGGUACCGUUUAUUUAACAACGCCCCGCGCUGCAGGAUCAGGCGUUGUUAACUUUUAUUUUUAUAACCAAAAAAAAAAUUAGUUGUUUAUACUUGUAAAAUACAAAUAAAUAAAUUGAGAAUUAUUUAUGUUAAUAAAUAAUAACUGAGUUAUAGAUUCCAACCAAAGAUUAUGUCUUAAAGUUGAGAUAAAAAUAUUUUUCAUGAAAUAAAAAAUAAUAUGUAUACAUUUUUUUUCUGUAAUUGAGUUCAUAAUUCUUGAAAAGAAGCAUGUUCUUAGUCAUCAUCUCUAUUUGUUUAUGUAAGAGGAGUGUCGUUCAUCUAGGGAGAACAAUAGCUACAUAAUUAUAUUUAUAUUAUAUUCAUUAUUUAUUAGAUAAAAAAUUAUAUAUUUAUAUCUUAUUCAUAAAAUUUUAAAUAUUUAUUACUCAAGAACUGUUUAUUAUUCAACAUAAACUAAUAUAUAUAUAUAUAUAUAUAUAUAUUUAUUUUCAUCACUUAAUAUACAUAUAUCUCAAUAAAGUUUAACAAUAUUCAUUAACUUAUCUAUUUGAAUUAGUUCAAAUAAAUAUUUAUUAUAUUCAUAUUAAAUUAUUAUCUUUACAUACAUAUUUACCCUUGUCAAAUUAAUUUUUUUUUUCAUUAUAUCGAACAAGUAAUUUUGUCAUAUUAAUAACAAAAGCUAAUUAGAGUUGGAAAAAUAAUCUUUGUUAUGAGAGGAUUCACGGAUCAUUACCCUUCUAAAAAAAUCAAUGAAUUGGCUAUUAGAAUAAUACAAUCUUUUUAUUAGUCAUUGUCAUAUUGAUAAAGGACAAGUUAGUCUUUUUAAAUUUUAAAAGUACAUUUAAAUAAUUAAAUUACCCUUAAAAAAAAACUUAUUUAACUAGAGUUUAGGGAUUUCUUUUUUUUGUAUAUUCAUUUUGGGCUUUUAGUUAUUAUCAAGUUGACUAAAGAACAAUUUAAUAUUUUAAUAAUUAUAAAAUAUAAUUUAAAAAUCAAAGUUGGCUAAAACAUGCAAUGCGGGUGGGAGGCACUCGUAGUCCUUUAAUGACACGUACAGAGUCUUUUAGCAUCCAAAUGAUAGUUUCCAUGAAAGCGUUGGAAGCAUUGAGGUGUCUUUUUCCACGUGGAGCAACACUUCUCAUCAUUUAUGUGAUGGUAUGUCAUUAUCGAUUUUUUUUUUCUCUCUCCUCCUCGAAAUUUGCACUGGUCAUUCAAAGUUUUUCUUUUAUUUACCAUUAUUUGAACUUUGGUCCUCAGGUUUUAUUCUAAUUUUUGUUUCUGGCCCAUUUGUUAAAUUUAAUUUGUUUUCAUUUUAUUUUUAAAUCCAUAAUUGUAAUUUGUAUUCUUUUCAAAUGUGAUCCAUAUUCUUUUGAUUUUUAUUUUUUCUGGAUUCUUAUGUGAAUUUCAUUUUUCUUUUCAAUUUGUCCAUUCAAUUCCAAAUUCUAGGUUGUCAUCUCAUUUAUUUAUUUAUAUUUUAAAUUUGAUUUUCAUUCUCUUAAUUGUUUUUUUUUAAUCAUUUUGUAUAAAAUUUUCAAUUUCAUCGUUCAACAUUUUAUUUGUUAGAAAUUAGGUUUUGUGGUUUUUUAGAUGAGAUGAUUCUGAUUUAAUGACUCAAGUCACAGGUUUGAAAAGUUAACACAGGUUGAUAUUUUUUUUUAUUACAAUUUCAUCAUUUGAAAUUACUUAUAAUGGGCUUAUGAUCUUCUUCGGUUUCCUUUCAAUUAGGUUAUCUCAAUCUUAUGACCGAGGCAACAAUUAUUGUAAUACCCCACCUUACUAGCAAGAUAUUGUCCGCUUUGGGCCUCCUAGUCCAUCCAAAUCUAGGGCUUCCACCCAGGUCCCCCUCACGGUUUUGUUCUUGGCAGCCACACAUAACUCCAAAACGCGUCUUACUAAUCAAGGUGAGCAUGCAUUUAUAAGGCCCUAGCUCUGGACGCUCGCUUUCGAUGUGAGAUCUUAUAAUCCCCCUACCUUAAGACGAGCCGUACUCGGCUCUGAUACCAAAUGUAACACCCCCACCUCAUUAGCAAGAUAUUGUUCAUUUUGGGCCUCACAGUCCACCCAAAUCCAGAGCUUCCAUCCAGGUCCCCCUCAUGGUUUUGUUCUUGGCAGCCACGCAUAACUCCAAAACGCAUCUUACUAGUAAAGGUGAGUAUGCACUUAUAAGGCCCUAGCUCUGGGCGCUCGCUUGCGAUGUGGGAUUUUACAAUUAUGAUUGAUUAACUCGGGUAUAUUUUUAGAUCUUUUUUUUCUAUAUAUUUUUUUGGUUUUCUCCUUUAAAAUUAGAUUUAAAAAAAAAUUAAACUUCAUUAUUUUCCAUGUUUUGCUUUCUAUUUUGUUUGCAUGAUCCAACUUGCAAGGUUUUACAGCUUUAGCAAGGUUUGUACGUGUUUUAUUAUUUUAGGCAUUAUUUUUUUUUCAAUUUGUUUUUUAUGAGGUUGAUCUAACCUCACGACUCAAGUUGUGGGUUUGUCAUGUUAAUUGUGGUUGACUUGAGCCUUUUAAUUUUGUUAUUUUUUAAAUUUCAUUUUUUAAUAUUAAAUUAUUUUAAAAUUUAAAAUUUUAAUUUUUUUUCUUUUUGAUAAGCCUUAUUUUUUUCUUGUCAUUGUUAUAAUUUUUUUUUUAAAUCCAGCUCAUUUAUUUUCUUUUUUUUUCUAUUAUAUAAUUAAAUAAAAAUACUUUACUGCACCUAGUGGGUUAUAUAACUUGAAUCAUGAAUUUUUUUUUUUAAAACACUAAUAAUGUCUAAAUAUUACUUUUUUACUAUUAAAAAAAAUAAUAGGACCUUUGCGGAAGCUUGACUAUUAUUUUGGGGGUUUGAUAGAAAUUAUUUUUUAAAAUGUUUUUUAUUUAAAAAUAUAUUAAAAUAAUAUUUUUAAUUUUUAAUUUUUAAUUUUUUUGACAUAAAAUAUAAAAACAUCUAAAAUAUUAAAAAUUAAUUUUAAAAAAUUCAAAUUUUAAUAAAAAAUAAAUUCAAACUCAGAACGAAACAGAGACGAAAAGAUCUCAAAACACUAGCAAGUGCGCACCAACAUUCUCAAAUUCCUAGAUAAGGAGCACUUUCAAAAAUGAGUAAAAAGUAAUUACAUAAAAAAAAUGGCGUGCAUCACUUCUUUUAUCGUGCUUCUUCAGUAGAGAACAAGAACCCUAAAAAGCUCUCCACGUCUUCUUUCAAGUAAGUUGCUUUAUAUUUCCUAAAAUACUACGCCAAUGGCUGUCUAUUUUCUUUAAAAGAAGUUUUAUCAGACAAAUCCAAAAAUUCGAAGAUCUUACUUUCUGGCUAUGACUAAUAUGUUUUUAUUAUUUAUUUUGGCUUACUAGUUCUGCUAAUUGAGACUUCUGCUAGUUUCACGGCACAAACUUUACUGUGAUUUGACUAUCUGCUUAUUAAUUUUUUGGUUUCUGUGAUUUGGGUUUGAAUUAAUUUUUGCGUCUGUAAUCUUUUUGGAGAUUUUCUCAGGUGAACACAAUGCUGACAACUAACUGUGUUAAGGUUAAAUAAGUUCUCUUGAAUUGUCCAAGUUUGAAAUAAUGGAUGAAGAUAACAGUUUGAAUAUUCGUAAUUGGGGUUACUAUGAACCAACACCUGUUAAAGGAAAUCUGGGUCUGCAGCUCAUGUCCCCAACAAUGCCUGAGAAACCCUUUUUGGGUUCGCGCAGUGCCGCAAUCAUGACAAGUAUGAAUGGAGGUUUUAACCAUAAAGAUGUUGGUGUUUCGCAGCCCAUGCACCCUAUGGAGUAUAUGAGGGGAGCUUGGAUUGGCCAGAGAGAAAAGUUUAUCAAUGUUUUGCCUGGAAACCAUAAUUAUGCGGCUGUUUUUCCUGAAACAUCUUCAGCUCAUCAUAUGCAAGUGUUUCAACCACCUUAUUCAACAAAGGAUGAACCGCUGGAGCUAGUUGAAGAGGCUGGUGUUGUUGAAAAGGUAAAUGGUCCUAAUAAAAAGAGGCAGCGCCAGAAAGCUCCAAAAUCCCCGAAAGCAAAGAAGGGUAAGAGAGGCCCUCAAGU